Molecule: non-coding RNA, 72 nt
Organism: Clostridium sp. CAG:221
Lineage: Bacteria; Bacillati; Bacillota; Clostridia; Eubacteriales; Clostridiaceae
Source: Rfam
CCUUUGGAGUGUCAUAUCAAACUAAAGUAGUCUAUGUUUAUCAAGACAAAAUAGGACACGUUGAAUAAGGAA